GGCGGUGUAGCUCAGCUGGUUAGAGCGGGAGAAUCAUAAUCUCUGUGUCCGGGGUUCGAGUCCCUGCACCGCUA
RNAcentral lists this transfer RNA (74 nucleotides) under bacterium. Its description in RNAcentral is "tRNA-Met". It matches the Rfam family "tRNA". Rfam says of the family: Transfer RNA (tRNA) molecules are approximately 80 nucleotides in length. The record is from RNAcentral.